CCUACGGGAGGCUGCAGUGGGGAAUAUUGCACAAUGGGCGCAAGCCUGAUGCAGCCAUGCCGCGUGUGUGAAGGAGGCCUUCGGGUUGUAAAGCACUUUCAGCGGGGAGGAAGGCGGUGAGGUUAAUAACCUCAUCGAUUGACGUUACCCGCAGAAGAAGCACCGGCUAACUCCGUGCCAGCAGCCGCGGUAAUACGGAGGGUGCAAGCGUUAAUCGGAAUUACUGGGCGUAAAGCGCACGCAGGCGGUCUGUCAAGUCGGAUGUGAAAUCCCCGGGCUCAACCUGGGAACUGCAUUCGAAACUGGCAGGCUAGAGUCUUGUAGAGGGGGGUAGAAUUCCAGGUGUAGCGGUGAAAUGCGUAGAGAUCUGGAGGAAUACCGGUGGCGAAGGCGGCCCCCUGGACAAAGACUGACGCUCAGGUGCGAAAGCGUGGGGAGCAAACAGGAUUAGAUACCCGGGUAGUC
This 465-nucleotide ribosomal RNA is filed under the name uncultured Klebsiella sp. RNAcentral describes it as "bacterial SSU rRNA". It matches the Rfam family "Bacterial small subunit ribosomal RNA", at positions 338 to 795 of the family's 1533-position model. Lineage: Bacteria; Pseudomonadati; Pseudomonadota; Gammaproteobacteria; Enterobacterales; Enterobacteriaceae. The record is from RNAcentral.